This 1122-nucleotide long non-coding RNA is filed under the name Suricata suricatta (meerkat). Its description in RNAcentral is "lncRNA (ENSSSUG00005021356.1)". The record is from RNAcentral. Lineage: Eukaryota; Metazoa; Chordata; Mammalia; Carnivora; Herpestidae.
ACUUCUCUUCUGAUUUCCCCUCAGCCUGCUACACACUAAUUUUUAAAAACUGCUAUUUUCAUUAUAUUUCUCAUCCACACCAGAAAGUAUGAUGCUCCUGUGACUUUCCAAAGUGAUUUUCACUAUGCAAUUGUAUACCAGAUUUUGUGUGUAUGUCUGUUAUGCCUUUCUCUUUUAUCAGAAUCUCAAAGAGGUAUCUUCGAGCUAUGUGAAGAACUGUGGCUCAUACAAAGAAACAAAAGUGGUUGUUGGCAUCUCCCCAAGGCGUUCCUUGGGGUAUGUGGAGUAAAGGCUGUUCCAAAGCUUUGUGUCGUGGCUGGGAGGAUCUUACUGAAGAGCUGAGACAGUGUGUCGGAGAGAUGACAGCUUGGAAGGCUGUCAUGCUUACAGACUGCUUUUGAAAGAGGCCGUGCUGGCCACAACCAAGAAGGUAGCGACGCAGUCUGUUUCUUCAGCACUGGGGACCGCGUUGUGUAGCAUGGGAGCCUUCUAUCCUAGCCACAGUUGGAGGGGGAGAGGACACCUGGCACAGAGGUAGCCGAUCUACGGGCCACUCAGUGGCUUCUGAGAUAGCCGCAAAUAAGAACUUUCCCCCAAAAGGACAAUGGUGACAGAUUCUCCUCUCGGUGACAUUUGAUAAUGGAGAGGUGGCAGCAAGUGGGAGCAGGAUGGAAAGAGCUGUGGUGGUUUGUGUACCUUGCAUCAUGACUGCGUUCUGAAGACCGCUGACGAUGAGUUGAGGCAGCGGUGUGCAGGGCGCGCCCUUACAGGCCCGGGAGCCGGUGGGUGCCAGCGUCUCUUCCCAGCUCUGCCUCACGUCGGUGCAGGUACUGACACCACAUAAAUUGAUUUUUGUUACAAUUGAGAUCUCCUGUCUCCAGAUCUGGUUGGUAAACAUUUACUAGCACACCACUGGGUAGAGAGAGGGGAGGGAUGGCACUUAGAGAACAGGGGAAGCAGUUACCUUUUCUGGGCCCUUUGUCUUACUUGUGGGGAAGAGCACUGGGUGUUAUAUGGAAACCAACUUAACGAUAAACUAUAUGAAAAAAAAAAGCAAACAAGGUAAUAUAUUUAAGGUAAUAUGUUAACAUGGUUGGUAUUAAGAUUAUAGUAAAAAGAGAC